CUGACAGGUUCCGUGGGAAAAUGAAAAUGUAAUGCUAUUAUCAGACAUUCGCCAUGGAAUGUACUUCACCACCUUAAACAGAAAAGAUGCUGCUGUAAGACUGUGCCCCAAGGUUGCAAUUUAAUCAGCAGCCUGAAGGGAGUGCUGCUGCGCCGGGGCAGUGUAUCCUAAAGACAUGGAGGCGGAGAGGGCCAUGCUGAUGGUGACCAUGCUGUUGGCCAAAAAGGUGGCUGGUCACACCAUCCUCGCUCCCUGAUGUCUUUCACACAACAGAAACAUAAACUCAACUAAGGUCAUAGGACCUAUGAUUGCAGACUGACUAGGAGAGUGAAGAGUUCAUUCACAUUUAAAGAAAGCAGCAGC
Long non-coding RNA from Myotis lucifugus (little brown bat), 363 nucleotides. RefSeq lists it as uncharacterized. NCBI's taxonomy places the organism in Eukaryota, Metazoa, Chordata, Mammalia, Chiroptera, Vespertilionidae. The record is from RefSeq and is a predicted model, not a curated record. The transcript is spliced from 3 exons.